Wyeomyia smithii (pitcher-plant mosquito) is the source of this 10161-nucleotide long non-coding RNA. RefSeq lists it as uncharacterized. The record is from RefSeq and is a predicted model, not a curated record. NCBI's taxonomy places the organism in Eukaryota, Metazoa, Arthropoda, Insecta, Diptera, Culicidae. The transcript is spliced from 2 exons.
UCCUUUUGUAAUUCUUGAAAAAUAAUUUUCAAAGCAGGAUCACGAGAUCUUUGGUAUUGACGUCUCCGUAUGUUCUUCAAACGUAUAAGAAGUUGAAGUUCACUGUCAAUAAUUGGUGCAUUAAAUUUUACUCUUGCCUUAGGAACUGAUAAAUUCCGGGCACUGAGUAUUAAGCUGCUAAAAUUUUCUAAUGCUCUGUCAAUGUCAGCACUAUUUUGUAAAAUAAUAUCAUCAUUCAAAUUUUCCUCGAUCGUAGAACGAUAUCUAUCCCAAUUAGUCUUGUGAUAAUUUAACACAGAUCUAGUGGGAUUUAAAAUAGUUUCAUGGGAAAUAGAAAAUGUUAUGGGAAGAUGAUCAGAAUCAAAGUCAGCAUGAGUUGAUAAAUCACUGCAUGAAUGGCUUUGAUUUGUUUGUACCAAAUCAAUUGUAGAUGGAUUCCUUAUAGAAGAAUAACAUGUAGGACCAUUUGGAAAUAAAACUGAAUAAAAUCCAGCCGAGCAAUCAUUAAACAAUAUUUUGCCAUUGGAAUUGCUUUGAGCAUUAUUCCAAGAUCGAUGUUUCGCAUUAAAAUCACCGAUGAUUAAAAAUUUAGAUUCAUUUCUUGUGAGUUUUUGCAAAACUCCCUUGAAAUAAUUUUUUCGCUCACCAGUGCAUUGAAAAGGCAAAUACACUGCGGCUAUAAAUAAAAUGCCAAUACUUGUUUCAAUUUCAAUUCCCAAACUCUCGAUAACUUUGGUUUCAAGAUGGGGUAAAACACGAUGUUUUAUUCGACGGUGGAUAACUAUUGCAACUCCACCACCGGCAACAUCAAUUCUAUCAAACCUAUGAACUAUAAAAUUUGGGUUCUUUUUCAGUUUAAUAUUUGGCUUCAAAAGCGUUUCAGUCACAACUGCAAUAUGCACAAGCACAUCGUGGACUGUUAAAAAAUUUAAAAAUUCAUCCUCUUUCGCUUUUAAAGAGCGAGCAUUCCAAUUUAGAAAAUUUACAGCAUUACUUAAAAUCAUUGCUGAAUUCCAAUUUCAUAACAAUAUUAGUUAUGAAUUUUAUACCUUCUUGAACAGCCUCGUACAUCGAGUUACAGUUCAACAAAACGGACAUUAGCUGCAGCAUGGAUUGUUGUAGGUAUUCAAUCUUUUCGGGAGUUGGAUUACCUAAAUCAAUACUGGCUGACUUUUCAGCACCAAACACGAAUGGUUUGUUACUGUUUGAAUUUGAAAUAUUACCUGAAAGGACACUGGGAUAUGAACAGCCUGGUGUUGCCUGAGCAGGAUUAUUUUUCUGAAAUUUGUUAUCUGAAUUUAAAUAAUUACCUACAGACACACCUGCUAAUGAAAGUGCUGGUGAUGCCUGAACAGUACUGAAAGUCUUUUGAUUACCCACAUUGACGACAGGUUGUUUAGAAUUCCUACGUUGUCUAGAAGCAAUAAUUUUUGACCUUACAGGACAAUUAAAGAAAUUAGAUUUGUGAUUUCCCCCACAAUUUACACAUUUGAAACUAUUAGUGAUCUCUUUCACGGGGCAGAUAUCUUUCGUGUGACUAGUGUCACCACAAAUCAUACAUUUUGCAGCCAUAUGACAGUUUCGAGCUCCAUGACCAUAGGCUUGACAAUUCCGACAUUGCGUAAGAUUAUGGAUUCCUCCAUGUCUCUUGAAAUUUUUCCACUUUAUUCGCACGUUGAAUAAAACACGUGCUUUUUCUAAACAUUUUAAAUUAUGUACUUUGGUACGAUCAAAAUGUACUAAGUAAUUUUCCUGGUGUAUUCCAGUUUGAAAAAUUUUGGCAUUUGCCUUUCGUUUCAUCAAAAUUACUUGGUUGAGGGCAAAACCAAGUGAUUCUGACACACAAUCUUUGAUUUCAUCAAUACUUUGAUCAUUUGAGAGACCUUUCAACACAGCCUUAAACGGUCUCUCGUUUUUGGCAUCAAAAGAGUAAAAUUUAUACAUCUUUUCAGUCAAAUACUGUAAAAGAUGUUUAUGGCCAUCAAAAGAUUCGGCCAAAAUACGAAUUUCGCCUUGGCGACCAAUUUGAAAAUUAACUUUCACAUUCGAUAGAAAUGAUGAAAGUUCUGAUCGAAAUGCUUUAAAGUUUGCUACAAAUACCACAAUAGGUGGAACUUUAACCUUCUUCAUAACGGCUUUAUGCUCAGUAUGAGAAGUUUGGAGUUCUUGAUCCCCAACGGAAGAAAGAAUAUCAUACCUGUUAGUCGAAAUUUCAGUGUCACUUGGAGGAGAUGCCUCACGUUUCCCUGAAGCCGCAUCAAAGCGAGCUUUUUUAUUUUUUCCAGGCAUAACUGGAAAACUUCACUACACUUUCACUUCACUAUAGAAUUUAAGUAGAAAAAAAAAAAACAAAAUUAUUACUUUGCGUUUCAACAGGUAGUCUUUUAAAAAGAUUGCCUGUUGAAAGCGAAAAGCAAAAUUUCAAUAUCUCUCGGUAGUCUAAGACUUAGCCUCGAGCUGUUGGUAAAAUGCGACCGUACUGUAGGACAGUUCAAGUCGAUCAACUCAGUACGAUUAAAGAUCUCUUUUGCAAGGGCGGCUCUUAGAUAAGGGAAUAUUGGUUAUUUUUGAAGAUGUAUUUCAUCUCGCCGGAAAUGACUCUUGAAAAGUUAUCCACAACUUUAAUUACUUACUCUCCUGGUGAAACAUCUCUCAGGAUUUCACCUGCGUCACAAUGUUACGGCGAAGCACUUUUGAGCGUCCUACAUCUCCGAGAUCUUGAUCCACUUGGUCCAGCCGCCUGCUCGUUGCGCGCCUCUACGUAUUGUACCGGCCGGGUUCGAGACGAGCACCAUUUUUGCGAGAUUGUUGUCCGGCAUUCUUACAACUUGUCCCUCACCAGGGAUGCGAGGCAUUUUUUCAAAUGUCGGCACGUUCCGAGAAAAAAAUGUUUUCACAUGUCUUCCCGCUCGAAGGCUGAAAAAAAUUACCGCCGAAUCGAAAACUGGCAAGCAAACAAAAAAAAAGGACACCAUCGCUGAAAAAUGCAGGUCACAAUCACAUAUUUUCCAAUGUCAAUACCUGUUUUUCAAUGUCUUCACUUUGUCUUCACAAUGUUUUCCAAUUUGGCAUCGCUGAUCCUCACAUACUCCGCCGAAGAUGGUUCUAAGCACACGUCGUUCGAAAAUGGCUAGUGCUUACAAGUUCUCCUCGAACAUUGUCCAUCUUUCGUGCCCGUGGAGGAACACCGGUCUUAUGAGCGUCUUGUACUUGGAGCACGCAGUACGGGGGUUUGCCAGACCUCAACGUGUUGUGGAGUCCGUAGUAGGCAUGACUUCCAGUUACAAUAGGUCUGUGGAUUUCUCUGCUGAAGUUGUUGCCUGACGUUACUAAUGAUCCGAGGUACACAAAUUUCGUCAACCACCUCGAACUCAUCUCUGUCGAUCACUACGCGUCCUACGAGCCCUGUCGCGCUCGGUUCCCCUGCUAGCAGAUACUUGGACUUCGACGAAUUCACCUUCAAUCCAACCUUUUCUGCUUCAGCUUUCAGCUUGGUGUAGUGUUCGCUUGUCACGUCCUUCCGACAAGGUCCACGUCAUCAGCAAAACAGAUGAACUGGCUGGGCUGGCCCCGUAUAUUAAAGGCCUCACAUUUCAUAGGCGGUCCCCGUGGUUCUGUGGUUAACGAUGUAGGUCGGCUAGCUCUCCCACACGGUUGUGAUAUCGGGUUCGAUUCCCGAUUAGGUCGAGGAUCUUUUCGAGCUGGAAAUUUUCUCGACUCAGCACUGGGGCACGGUGUAUCGUGGUACUUAUCCUACAACAUGCGAAAAUGUGCCGAAAACAAUAUCGAUAACAAAUUCUCUCAACUUAUCUAGUUGAUCGAGACCGCAUUAGCCCCCCAGGCUAGCGUGCGAUAUUGUUUUUUACGUUUCAUAAAACUUUCAAGCACAAUGUUGAACAGGAGGCAGGAAAGACUGUCGCCUUGUUCUGUAUCACAAAUCCUGACUAUCAGCUGAUCCAGACAAGAAGCGAACCUAUCCGGGCCUAGCUUGAUAAGCUCCGCUGUGAUUCCAUUUCCGCUGUUUCGACGCAUCCCUCAAGCGUUUAGUUUCUUGUAGAAUCUACGUGUUUCUUGAGAACGAUACAGCUGCUUAUUUCACCCACACUCCACCGCUUCCAGGCGGGGCUUUUUGUUCCGGAAAAGAUUGGCCUGCUGUCUUCGUUUCAGUUCGCACCGACUCAUGUUAUGACAGGUCCUUUACUGCAGCAUCAAUUCCCGCGCUGCAUUCUUCUAGUCUAGAAUCAUUUGACACUUCUUGUCGAACCAGCCGUUACGUUGAUUCCUUUCGACGAAUCCAACAGCACCUUCCGCUACGUUGUUAAUGGCUGCUUCCACAGAACUCAAACAAAUCUCCAAGGUGACUUCGGUAAGCUCUUUCUCAUCCGGUAACGAUGCCUCAAGGCUUUGCGUGUAUUCAGCAGCGAAUCCGGGGAGUUUAAGUUGCUCCAGAUCAUACCGUGGCGGGCGACGGUAGCAGAAGUUGUCGACAACCGGAAGUCAAAAUAUGAUCGAUUUGUAUUUCAGUCUGUUGUGGUGAGCACCAGGUGUACCGAUAUGGAAGACUAUGCUGGAAGUAGGUACUACGUAUGGCCAUGUCUUGGAGACGGCAAAGGCAAUGAGUCGAAGGCCGUUUUCGUUCGUGAGCCGGAGUGCGCUGAACUUUCCAUUAAGCGCUCUGAGUUCCUCCUUCUGGCCAACCUGAGCGUUGAGAUCUCCGAUGACGAUUAAACUGAGGUUUAAACGUGAAACUCAAACAAAUUCUUCAAAAACUCGUAAAUUCCCAAAAAAAAUUAAGAGACAGAAAUUUUGUUUCUUAUACGAAGUUACAUAAAAUUUUCUAAUCUAAAACUUUGUCGAAAACUGCAAUGCUCUAGCGUGUAAGAAUAAAAAGUUGGUGUCGAAGCGCCAUCUCUGCGGCCAAAUCGCGAACUAAACUGAGCAUCAAGUUGAAGUUCUUAUUACACUGAGAAACUUUGCUGAAGACUGCACAUAGGUUGGAUAGAGUAUCAAAGUACUGGACCGUGUAUUCCAUGCAAUAAAUACAUAGCAAUUGUAUUUUUAUAUGAAACCUAUGGUUAUAUUCAAACUAAAAUAUCACAAAAACACCAAAAAACACUUCUUUCAAAUUUUCAGAAAAUAAAGAUUUUUUGAUGGACAAUUUUUAGAAAAAAAAAAAGUUUUGCUAAUACUUGCUACCCGUUGAGAUAUCUACUUCACAAAAUUAUGUAUUUUUUUUUCAAAUUUUGUGUAUUAUUUUCACUUAAGUACUUCAGAAACUUCUGUACUCGGAAGAAAACGACGCAAUUAUUCAAUUUCUAUCGAAAAAAAAAUUGUAAGAAAUCAUAUCGAGUGAAUUCAUAAAAUUAUCACAAUAAAAAGUGAAAUUCAGACAAAAUUUAUAAAAACUGGUAGAUCUCUGAAACUUGAAGAGUUAUAAAUUUUGUAUAUCAUGUAAAGUUUCAUGGAAUUCAGAGAUCUACAACUAUGUCGAAUACCGCAAAGCUCUAGCGUGUAAGGGAAAAAAGAAGUUGGCAUCGCAACGCCACCUUUGCGGCUGAAUUCCGAACCAAUUCAAACAUCCAAAAUGACGCCCUAACUAUGCCAAGAAACUUUGUAGAAGAUCGGAAACCGAUUGGUCAAACCCCAAGAGCGCUAUUAAUUUCGUUCCGCUAGAUUCCAUUUCUGGCCCAGUGUGCAGUGUACCGUCAGUAGGAUUUCUAUCAGAAGUAACCUGUCCUAUCGAGUUUAUACGCUAAGCUGGACUGAGCAAACAAAUUUGAUUCAAUUUUCAGGGCACAGGUAGGAUCUGCAACAUGUUGCAGAGGUUAAUUUUGAUAGAAAUCUGAUUGAUGGCGGUACACUUGUAGUGUUGGCAGGAAACAAGAUUCGACAUACUCAACUUUUAACAGCCAUUGCCAUAGCAUUUUUUAUGGACAUCGUAGCUCCUUAGUGUCUUCGGCACCGUUGUUAAGCAUAAAAAAAUACGCUUUGAAAUUUUAAAACCUAUGGUUCAGACCAUUUUGAGCCCUUUAGAAUGAAAAAUGCAAAGAAGUAGGUAUUUUCAUGCAAACUUUCAUACAAAUUGGAAGUGCAAUGCGCCUAGCGCAGACGAAACCAAUCGACUCUCAAGAAAUUUAGGAUUGUUUGGAGUCCCAAUCGAAACAAAAAAAACUUAGUUCUGGCUUUGUGCUCGCAAGCUUCAUUUUUUCCACAUAUCGACGCCCCACUUUAAUAUGUAUCUUUAGUAUUACUUGUGAAAUACCUAGAUUAUUUUCAAACCAAAAGUAUCUCGCUUAUCACGAUAGUGACAAAAUUAUACAGUAUGAAUCAAGUAAAUAAUACAUACCAUCUUGCAUUGCAGCAACUUCUGUAAAUUCUUAAUUCGUGUGUUAAUUCUACGUAUUCCAGACUUUUUCUUGACAGCAGGGUAUCGAUUUGUCUGUAGCUGUUUAAUUAAGUGGUGAUUUGGGCAUUGAUGAAAGUGGAUUGUAAACGGUGAAUGAUCUGAUUCGAAUUUAAUAACUAUUGUGUUCAUCCCCUUCGACAACGUUUAUCGGCACCACUUACUGUCAAGCGGGCAUUCUUCACUCGCAGCCAAAUCUCACGCUGUGUAAAUUAGAUUUUGUUUAUUCAAAGUGCUGUUGAAGCGGUAGGCAGAGGCAGUAGCGCGUUUUUUGAGGACUCUUGUGAGUAUGGUGGCAUCGUAAUACCUACCACAGGGGGUUGCAGAUGUUGGAUAGUGAAACCGUCAAUUUCCUAUUCUCUUUCUCGCUACUGAGCAAUCAAUCAAAAUCGUAUCAUCUCCAGGAAAACAUGUUCCGCAAAUGAAAAUUCGUAAUUUCGUAGGAUAAAUACCAACAAAUAAAUAGCCCUCUGUGAGCUUUUUAUUCCUUUUUUGCUCGUUUGUGUGAGCGCAAAACAUUAGAGUGUAGACACGUGGCCAACGUUCCGGGUGUAAACAGCAUUUCGUUUAACACCAUCUCGAUGAGGCCUGGGUAGUUUUACCGAUGUUGCUGUUUGAUAAGCUAAGAGCAUUUUGUUCCCAUAACAACAAGCCGCGAUAUCAAUAAGUUUGCUCAAAAAAUUAAUUAGAAGUGUUGACACGUGACCAAGCGUUCAAUAUAAAUAUCACGCUUCGGUUGACUUAACACGUGUAAUGUAAGCAAUAAUCGCAAUCAAGAUCGUUGACAGUAUCAACCAAGUUGUCAACCUACCACACUAAACCUUGCUACGUUUGUUUUGUUGUUCCGAACAGAAGUAUAUCGCGCGAAAAACCCUGUAAUGUUUUUCUGUGGAAAUUCGGUUCUAAUAUGAUUCAAUCAGUGUUAUUAUUCUGGUUUUAGGAAUUCACAAAGAGAUGAUUGAAUAUAUGUAGCUAAAAAAUAUCGCUGGAGAACAAUAUCGCACAUGCGAGCGCAGCAUUCAUGUAUACGCAUGCGAAAAUUUGGAUGAAGUAUAAUAGUGCUAAAACUAAGAGUUUAUUAUAAAUCCAAUAAAUAAUAAUAAUAAAAGCAACAAAAGCGUCGUAUUUUCACCUAAAUUCAACUACCAUCUUUGUCUGCGCAAAAAGACAAGGAAUGUUGAAUGGGUUUCAAAUAUUCCAAACUUUAUGUGAUUUUAACUGUUUGUUUCGCAGUGCCUUGUCACAAUAUCACAAUAAUACAAUGACAGCGGGGCUUGAGCGCGGUGGGCUGAGCAAAGCGGAUAAUGUACCCAUCGUAAACAGGGAGUAGGAUGUUUAUAAUUAAACACUUACUUUUCAUAUUUGUUUUAUUAUGAAGCGCGAUUGCCUGGUACGCCUGUCGCCAGUAGGUUGGCAAUCUUUGCGGAAGGGGUGCAAAGUUACGAGGGUGUGCUGUAGCUUUGUUCUUUCUGCACCAUCCUUCGCCACCGAGCACGACGUGGUUCCAGAGUAGUUUGUGAGCUUUGCACAUGCCCUCGUUUAAUAAUUUUCCGGUCCAAUACAGGGGUGAAAACUGCGGAAGCGUUUGAAAAUAAAUCGUCGCUCAUAUUUGUCUUCAAAUUAAAUAUCAUAAAUAAUAAUGAUCGGUUGCGGUAAUGGAUUUGGUGUGACAAUAAGACAUAUGAAAUGAUAAUUUCGAGAGGAUUAUGGGAUUGAGAAGGUAGAAAAAGGGACAGAAAGCUGUUUGCGGCUAGCUUAAUUGAUUCUCAUGAGUAAUUUAUUCCAUAUUCGUGCCAGAGCAAUUAAACUCUGUUAUUUUUUUUCUUUUCUCCGAUUCACCAUCACACAGCAAUAUACACAUCCAAAGCUUUAAUCUGAAUUUAUCAUGUUAUUUGAUAAAGAUGUUUUGCUUCAUUACUGUACAUGUACUAUAUUGAUUCAAUUAUUGUUUGAUGAAUGAAUUGAUUGAAAAAUGUGUAUGGUAGUGAGCAAAUGACUCCGUUUAUUUGAAGUAGUUUAAUUAGGGAUUACAUACAGACCAUGCUCUCCAGAUGGUUAAAAAACACAUAAUAUUCGUGCCACUAUAGACCUCAAAUCUGUCAAUUCAAUUUCGAAUGUCGGAGUCGAAAAGAGCAUCAGCUGAGUAGAGAAGAGACAGCGAAAACCAUGCAAAGUUUUCGAAGACGCAGCAGUUUGCAGAUGUAGUCAUGGCCUCUGUAUUUUAUGAUAUGCGUGGGUUUUUGUCUACAACAAUUUCACUUAAUGACCAAACGAUGCAUUAUUAUAUCCAUAGGAUAAAAACAAGAAAAAAUGUUUGUAUUUUUUAGAAAUGCAGCAAUCUGCAAGUUGAUGACAACAAGCGAAUAAUUUAAUAAUUGAAUAAUUUUCUAAUAGACUUCUUCUUUGCUCUGAAGUUCUAGUUUAUGACUUAAACUAAUUUAAGCAAUAAUUAAUGACUACUACAAGGUAUCAAGAAUUUUUAUAAAAUAUAAAUUUACCUCUAACUGGUUAUAACACAGCAUCAUUGUUAUUCUUAAAGUUCUGUAAAAAUCUAAUGAAGAGUAAGUUAUUUUAUUAGAGAUCGUUGUUUGAGCUAGAAUUAUAAGUAUUUUUUUUGGUUCAUGAUUGAAAUCCAGAAAAGCUAAUUCUAAUUUGUGCAAAAACUACUACAUCUAAGUAAGUACACGGGGAGUAAAACAUUUAAUAGACGUCGAUACAAUUUCCACAAUACUUCCGAGCAUACUGCUCGUUAUUUAGCAAAGGAUUUCCGCUCCAAUCAAAUUUCCACAUGAUUUCGAUUCACCGAGCAUACAAAUAUUGGUUUCAUUUCGAAUUGCGCCACAGAAUCACAUUUCCCAUUGUUUAGAAAAGGUACCGAUACACAUUGAGCACAUGCAAUGCACGAUGCAUUGUCUGAUUUCGCAUGUCCUACCUCCUGGCUGGCUGGCUGACUGGGUGCCGAGAUUGCUGCAGCGAAGCAGAAGUUUGGUUUCACCGAUUCCAUUCUCCGUUCAACAAAUCAUAUUUAGAUGUCCCUGGGACGGAAAAUGGAAGCUUCACCGCAAGCGUACGCUACCGCACGGAAUGGGAACCACACAUAUGUGAGUAUACAUACAUUCAUAGUCUAUACCACUCAGGCAACGGGAGUUCGAUCCGAAGCGAACAAUUUAUUUUAUUGCCUACAGUUAGUACACAAAAGCGGUUCCAAUUCAAAGGAUUCGCCGGAAACAGCGUCUAGCCCAGAUAACAAUAUUCGAAAACUUUUCUGAAUCACAGAACGUGAUUACUCUAAAUAAAAUCAACCUCUAUAAAAAUUUGUGCGCUUAAUCUAUCAAUCGCAUUUCCAGGCUGCCGCAUAGACCACGGUACGCUUCACGUAUUGAUACACGCAUCAAUAGAGGAUGAUAUUACCGAUGGAUGAUGGUGAUGAUGUAUGUAGCAGAGACUAGGAAUUGUACCCGGUGAUUGGUUUUGCAUUCCGCACACAUCAAUCGACCAACCUCCGUCGAAUGUUCCGAAGCGUGCACAGGCACUGUAUUUUCGAAUCGCUCACAGACUAUGCUUGGCCGCAUUUCCGUUCAAUAUGUGCUGUUCAAUAUUUACCUACUCGGGAAACGCUGAAUAUUGAAUCGUUUUAUAACACACAGCAGUACACACCGAUGGAAUUAGAUCCAAGCGCCCUCUUCAUUUGUAAAAGAAUUGCAGUCUGACUUCUUGUUGGAAAAGAAAAUUCAAAUUCUCGAAAGUUUUAUUUUAAA